Camelus dromedarius (Arabian camel) is the source of this 1549-nucleotide long non-coding RNA. RefSeq lists it as uncharacterized. The record is from RefSeq and is a predicted model, not a curated record. The transcript is spliced from 3 exons. NCBI's taxonomy places the organism in Eukaryota, Metazoa, Chordata, Mammalia, Artiodactyla, Camelidae.
UCGGGGGUGGGGCACGCGUGGGAGAGAGGGACCAGGACGCCGGAAGGAGGCUGACUACCGGCCCCUGGUCCCAGAUCAGUGACCCCCCCGGGUUAGUCCCUGUGGCCACUGCAGCAAAUCACCACAGAUGUGUUGGAGUUCUCCUCCCAGUCCUGGAGAUGUACAGCGUGCUUGAGAGGCCACGAAGGGGCAGUUUGGUUGCCUAGAGUUUAAAUUAAAUCAUAUGCAUGCCUCAUGGGGAUGAAUCCAAGGUGUCAGCAAGGGUCCUCUGGAGCCUCCAGGGGAGAAUCCGUCUUCCCGCCUUUUCCAGCUUCUAGAAUCCACCUGCACCCUUUGGUUCGUGGCCCCUUCCUCCUCCUCCAAAGCCAGCAAAGUGGGUGGAGUCUUUCUUUUAUUGUAAACAUACAUUUUUUUAUUGAAGCACAGUCAGUUUACGGUGUUGUCAGUUUCUGGUGCACAGCACAGUGCUUCAGUUACCCGUGAACAAACAUACGUUUGUUUUCAUAUUCUUUUUCACCACAAGUUACUACAAGAUACUGAAUACAGUUCCCUGUGCUGUACGGUAUGAGCCUGCUGUUUGUCUGUUUUAGAGGGUGCAGCCUUUCUCACAGGGCACCACUCUGACACUGACUCUGCCCACUCCCACGUUCAAGGACCCUGUGAUGACACCAGCCCACGGACAGUCCAGGACAACCUCCGCACCUCAGAGUCGGCCGAUUGGCAACCUUAAUUCCAUCUGCAACCUUAAUCCCCUUUGCCACGUGACCUGACACGGUCACAGCCUCCAGGAUUAGGAUGGGGGCCCUGGGAGACUUUAUUCUGCUGACCACUCCCUCUGUCUACAAGCCCCCCCACCAAGCAGAGCCUCUAAGUGCCAGGGGAUCCUUGGCCAAGAGGAGGAAGGAUCCCGAGCGUUUCCUCGGCUGCGCCUGGCGUGCUUCAGCAGAGAGAGUCAUAUUUUUCCUAUUAGCAUCAUUUACUCUGUCACUGGGACUCGAGUACAAACCAAGUGGUCACAAACAUGAGAGAUGAACGGAGGCGGGAGCUGGCCACAGGAGAAACGCCGGGGCCAGGCCAGGCCCCCUCGCUCUCCCGGGCCCAGCCCCACACCCUCCGCUUGCCGGCGCCGCGGGGCUGCCGUAAGGGGUCCGUAAAGGACCGCGUAGCUGCACCUCGCGGCCGGGGGAGGUGGGCCGCCCUCCGCCAGGCUCUGCUCUGCGUGUCGCCUGGAACCAGGAAGGCCCCUCCCGGGCAGCAGGCACAUCCUGAGCCCCCCAGCCCUGGUGGCUGACAUGCAGCCAUGGAGGGAGAGGUGUGCGGCACAGGAAGUCUCAGCCCCAGGCCCGCAGGGCCCUGGAAGUGUGCAGCUGGACAAGCGGCUGAGCAUUGGGAACCCAGGUGAGGCGGCCAGCCCCUGACCCAGGUGCUGCCACACGUGCUGGAGGAGAGGCUGCAGCGAGAAGCUGAGGGGAUGAGCCCCCACCCCAAGUGUGGUGCUGAAACUGGGGGCACAGGUUCUGGGCCAGCAGAGCCCACUGGUGGAGCCUCU